Non-coding RNA from Arachis ipaensis, 216 nucleotides. The record is from RefSeq and is a predicted model, not a curated record. Lineage: Eukaryota; Viridiplantae; Streptophyta; Magnoliopsida; Fabales; Fabaceae.
GUUAAUUGGAUUUUGGUUGAAUUGCUUGGGCCUAAGGCCGUGAUUGGUUUGUGUUUGAGGUUUAGUAAAGUAUGAAAGAUUAAGCUGGUUCAGCAUAGACUUAAUGAACCUAUGCUUGGAAUAAAUUAGUCAUUCAUACAGUCUAGGAAAACUUUUAAGACGUAUAUAAAGAAAAAUAUGGGUUUAGGAUUUUGGAUAAUUAAUUGAUGCUUCUAA